CCCUUAGAUGUUCUGGGCCGCACGCGUGCUACACUGACCGGCGCAACAAGCUUUUUUCCUUGGCUCGACAGGCCUGGGUAAUCUUCGAACGCCGGUCGUGAUGGGGAUAGAUCCUUGCAAUUUUUGAUCUUCAACGAGGAAUUCCUAGUAAAUGCGAGUCAUCAUCUCGCGUUGAUUACGUCCCUGCCCUUUGUACACACCGCCCGUCGCACCUACCGAUUGAAUGGUCCGGUGAAGCGUUCGGACCGUGGCCUUUGGACGGUUCGCCGUCUGUUGGCUGCGGGAAGUUCGUUAAACCUUAUCAUUUAGAGGAAGGAGAAGUCGUAACA
Molecule: ribosomal RNA, 329 nt
Filed under: uncultured eukaryote
Lineage: Eukaryota
Description: partial 18S ribosomal RNA
Rfam family: Eukaryotic small subunit ribosomal RNA
Source: RNAcentral